UCAGUCGGCCGGACGGCCGUCCCGCGCCAAUGCCGAAAGGCGGCCGGGGAGGAAAGUCCGGGCUCCAUGGACGAACGGUGCCGGAUAACGUCCGGCGGGGUGGAUCUCCGCAAUCGCUGGGAUAAACCUCAGGGACAGUGCCACAGAGAACAGACCGCCGCGGCUGCGUAAUGUUUUGGCCACGGUAAGGGUGAAACGGUGCGGUAAGAGCGCACCGCGCUGCCGGCAACGGCGGCGGCACGGCAAACCCCACCGGGAGCAAGACCGAAUAGGAAUGACGUUGACGCGCAAGCGCCAGGUCCGUCCGGGCCAGUCAUUCGGGUAGGUUGCUUGACGCGCCGGGUAACCGGCGUGCCAGAGGAAUGGCCGUCACGUAUGCCUAGGACGGCAUGCCUUACAAAACCCGGCUUAUAGGCCGGCUGAUAUA
This 427-nucleotide RNase P RNA is filed under the name Pseudolabrys sp. RNAcentral's name for it is "RNase P RNA component class A". It matches the Rfam family "Bacterial RNase P class A". Rfam says of the family: Ribonuclease P (RNase P) is a ubiquitous endoribonuclease, found in archaea, bacteria and eukarya as well as chloroplasts and mitochondria. The record is from RNAcentral. Lineage: Bacteria; Pseudomonadati; Pseudomonadota; Alphaproteobacteria; Hyphomicrobiales; Xanthobacteraceae.